UAAGCACCGGCUAACUACGUGCCAGCAGCCGCGGUAAUACGUAGGGUGCAAGGCGUUAAUCGGAAUUACUGGGCGUUAAAGCGUGCGCAGGCGGUUUUGUAAGUCUGGAUGUGAAAUCCCGGGCUCAACCUGGGAACUGCAUUGGAGACUGCAAGGCUAGAGUGUGUCAGAGGGGGGUAGGAAGUUCCACGUGUAGCAGUGAAAUAGCGUAGAGAUGUGGAGGAAUACCGAUGGCGAAGGCAGCCCCCUCGGGAUAACACUGACGCUCAUGCACGAAAGCGUGGGGAGCAAACAGGAUUAGAUACCCUGGUAG
RNAcentral lists this ribosomal RNA (313 nucleotides) under uncultured bacterium. RNAcentral describes it as "bacterial SSU rRNA". It matches the Rfam family "Bacterial small subunit ribosomal RNA", at positions 487 to 793 of the family's 1533-position model. The record is from RNAcentral.